CACGUAGGAGGCGAGCGUUGUCCGGAAUCAUUGGGCGUAAAGAGCGCGCAGGCGGCUUGACAAGUCGGGUGUGAAAUCCCGGGGCUCAACCCCGGGACUGCAUUCGAUACUGUCAGGCUAGAGGUAGGUAGGGGAGAUCGGAAUUCCUGGUGUAGCGGCGAAAUGCGCAGAUAUCAGGAGGAACACCGGUGGCGAAGGCGGAUCUCUGGGCCUUACCUGACGCUCAGGCGCGAAAGCUAGGGGAGCGAACAGG
Molecule: ribosomal RNA, 253 nt
Filed under: uncultured bacterium
Lineage: Bacteria
Description: partial 16S ribosomal RNA
Rfam family: Bacterial small subunit ribosomal RNA
Source: RNAcentral